This 439-nucleotide ribosomal RNA is filed under the name uncultured bacterium. RNAcentral describes it as "partial 16S ribosomal RNA". It matches the Rfam family "Bacterial small subunit ribosomal RNA", at positions 339 to 795 of the family's 1533-position model. The record is from RNAcentral.
CUACGGGUUGCUCCAGCGAGGAAUAUUGCACAAUGGGGGGAACCCUGAUGCAGCAACGCCGCGUGGAGGAUGACGCAUUUCGGUGUGUAAACUCCUUUUAUAUGUCAAGAAAAUGACGGUAGCAUAUGAAUAAGCACCGGCUAACUCCGUGCCAGCAGCCGCGGUAAUACGGAGGGUGCAAGCGUUACUCGGAAUCACUGGGCGUAAAGGACGCGUAGGCGGGUUGGAAAGUCAGGUGUGAAAUCCUACAGCUUAACUGUAGAACUGCACUUGAAACUUCUAAUCUAGAGUAUGGGAGGGGGAGAUGGAAUUAGUAGUGUAGGGGUAAAAUCCGUAGAUAUCACUAGGAAUACCUAAAGCGAAGGCGAUCUCCUGGAACAUUACUGACGCUAAGGCGUGAAAGCGUGGGGAGCAAACAGGAUUAGAUACCCCGGUAGUC